Molecule: ribosomal RNA, 163 nt
Filed under: Cranichis diphylla
Lineage: Eukaryota; Viridiplantae; Streptophyta; Magnoliopsida; Asparagales; Orchidaceae
Description: 5.8S ribosomal RNA
Rfam family: 5.8S ribosomal RNA
About the family: 5.8S ribosomal RNA (5.8S rRNA) is a component of the large subunit of the eukaryotic ribosome.
Source: RNAcentral
GUAUGACUCUCGGCAAUGGAUAUCUUGGCUCUUGCAUCGAUGAAGAGCGCAGCGAAAUGCGAUACGUGGUGUGAAUUGCAGAAUCCCGUGAACCAUCGAGUUUUUGAACGCAAGUUGCGCCCGAGGUCAAUUGGCUGAGGGCACGUCCGCCUGGGCGUUAAGC